RNAcentral lists this ribosomal RNA (491 nucleotides) under Gemmula cf. rarimaculata NP-2008. RNAcentral describes it as "partial 16S ribosomal RNA". It matches the Rfam family "Bacterial large subunit ribosomal RNA", at positions 1845 to 2598 of the family's 2925-position model. Lineage: Eukaryota; Metazoa; Mollusca; Gastropoda; Neogastropoda; Turridae. The record is from RNAcentral.
AUAAGGAGUCGGACCUGCCCAGUGAGUUUUUUAACGGCCGCGGUACUCUGACCGUGCAAAGGUAGCAUAAUCAUUUGCCUUAUAAUUGAAGGCUAGUAUGAAUGGUUUGACAAGAAUAUAGCUGUCUCUUUAUAAUUUUAUAGAAUUUUAUUUUAAGGUGAAGAAGCCUUAAUAUAAUUAAAAGACAAGAAGACCCUAUCGAGCUUUAAAGAAAUCUUUAGAAAUUAAUUAAUAAGUGAUUUUAAAAAAUUAGCUAUUGAAUAUUUUGGUUGGGGCGACUAAGGAACAAAUAAAGCUUCCUUUAAUGAAGACAACACUCAUGUAUCGAUCCAAAAUUUUUGAUUAAAGAAAUUAGUUACCGUAGGGAUAACAGCAUUAUCUUUUUUGAGAGCUCUUAUUGAAAAAAAGGUUUGUGACCUCGAUGUUGGACCAGAAUAUCCUAAAGAUGCAGAAGUCUUUAAGGGUUGGUCUGUUCGACCAUUAAAAUUCUA